RNAcentral lists this ribosomal RNA (536 nucleotides) under uncultured Hanseniaspora. RNAcentral's name for it is "eukaryotic LSU rRNA". It matches the Rfam family "Eukaryotic large subunit ribosomal RNA", at positions 62 to 597 of the family's 3401-position model. The record is from RNAcentral. Lineage: Eukaryota; Fungi; Ascomycota; Saccharomycetes; Saccharomycodales; Saccharomycodaceae.
AAACCAACUGGGAUUACCUUAGUAACGGCGAGUGAAGCGGUAAAAGCUCAAAUUUGAAAUCUGGUACUUUCAGUGCCCGAGUUGUAAUUUGUAGAAUUUGUCUUUGAUUAGGUCCUUGUCUAUGUUCCUUGGAACAGGACGUCAUAGAGGGUGAGAAUCCCGUUUGGCGAGGAUACCUUUUCUCUGUAAGACUUUUUCGAAGAGUCGAGUUGUUUGGGAAUGCAGCUCAAAGUGGGUGGUAAAUUCCAUCUAAAGCUAAAUAUUGGCGAGAGACCGAUAGCGAACAAGUACAGUGAUGGAAAGAUGAAAAGAACUUUGAAAACGAGAGUGAAAAACGUACGUGAAAUUGUUGAAAGGGAAGGGUCAUUUGAUCAGACAUGGUGUUUUUUAGCAUGCACUCGCCUCUCGUGGGCUUGGGCCUCUCAAAAACUUUCACUGGGCCAACAUCAAUUUUGGCGGUCAGGUAAAAAACUCUUUUGGAAUGUAGCUACCUCGGUAGUGUUAUAGCCUUUUGAAAUACUGUCAGCUGGGAUUGA